GCUUGCUUGGUGGAUCAGUGGCGAACGGGUGAGUAACACGUGAGCAACCUGCCCUGGACUCUGGGAUAAGCGCUGGAAACGGCGUCUAAUACUGGAUAUGAGACGUGAUCGCAUGGUCGUGUUUGGAAAGAUUUUUCGGUCUGGGAUGGGCUCGCGGCCUAUCAGCUUGUUGGUGAGGUAAUGGCUCACCAAGGCGUCGACGGGUAGCCGGCCUGAGAGGGUGACCGGCCACACUGGGACUGAGACACGGCCCAGACUCCUACGGGAGGCAGCAGUGGGGAAUAUUGCACAAUGGGCGGAAGCCUGAUGCAGCAACGCCGCGUGAGGGAUGACGGCCUUCGGGUUGUAAACCUCUUUUAGCAGGGAAGAAGCGAAAGUGACGGUACCUGCAGAAAAAGCGCCGGCUAACUACGUGCCAGCAGCCGCGGUAAUACGUAGGGCGCAAGCGUUAUCCGGAAUUAUUGGGCGUAAAGAGCUCGUAGGCGGUUUGUCGCGUCUGCUGUGAAAUCCCGAGGCUCAACCUCGGGCCUGCAGUGGGUACGGGCAGACUAGAGUGCGGUAGGGGAGAUUGGAAUUCCUGGUGUAGCGGUGGAAUGCGCAGAUAUCAGGAGGAACACCGAUGGCGAAGGCAGAUCUCUGGGCCGUAACUGACGCUGAGGAGCGAAAGGGUGGGGAGCAAACAGGCUUAGAUACCCUGGUAGUCCACCCCGUAAACGUUGGGAACUAGUUGUGGGGACCAUUCCACGGUUUCCGUGACGCAGCUAACGCAUUAAGUUCCCCGCCUGGGGAGUACGGCCGCAAGGCUAAAACUCAAAGGAAUUGACGGGGACCCGCACAAGCGGCGGAGCAUGCGGAUUAAUUCGAUGCAACGCGAAGAACCUUACCAAGGCUUGACAUAUACGAGAACGGGCCAGAAAUGGUCAACUCUUUGGA
RNAcentral lists this ribosomal RNA (933 nucleotides) under Microbacterium testaceum. RNAcentral describes it as "bacterial SSU rRNA". It matches the Rfam family "Bacterial small subunit ribosomal RNA", at positions 78 to 1022 of the family's 1533-position model. The record is from RNAcentral. Lineage: Bacteria; Bacillati; Actinomycetota; Actinomycetes; Micrococcales; Microbacteriaceae.